RNAcentral lists this ribosomal RNA (433 nucleotides) under uncultured bacterium. Its description in RNAcentral is "partial 16S ribosomal RNA". It matches the Rfam family "Bacterial small subunit ribosomal RNA", at positions 29 to 507 of the family's 1533-position model. The record is from RNAcentral.
AACGAACGCUGGCGGCAUGCCUAACACAUGCAAGUCGAACGAGACCUUCGGGUCUAGUGGCGCACGGGUGCGUAACGCGUGGGAACCUGCCCUUAGGUUCGGAAUAACUCCCCGAAAGGGGUGCUAAUACCGGAUAAUGUCUUCGGACCAAAGAUUUAUCGCCUUUGGAUGGGCCCGCGUUGGAUUAGCUAGUUGGUAGGGUAAAAGCCUACCAAGGCGACGAUCCAUAGCUGGUCUGAGAGGAUGAUCAGCCACACUGGGACUGAGACACGGCCCAGACUCCUACGGGAGGCAGGAGUGGGGAAUAUUGGACAAUGGGCGAAAGCCUGAUCCAGCAAUGCCGCGUAAGUGAUGAAGGCCUUAGGGUUGUAAAGCUCUUUUACCCGGGAUGAUAAUGACAGUACCGGGAGAAUAAGCUCCGGCUAACUCCGUG